Molecule: non-coding RNA, 808 nt
Filed under: Hylarana nigrovittata (black-striped frog)
Lineage: Eukaryota; Metazoa; Chordata; Amphibia; Anura; Ranidae
Description: Sylvirana nigrovittata (black-striped frog) partial 12S rRNA
Rfam family: Bacterial small subunit ribosomal RNA
Source: RNAcentral
AACUUACACAUGCAAGUCUCAGCACUCCCGUGAGAACGCCCUUCAAACCUUCCCCAGGUCAAGGAGCCGGUAUCAGGCACAACUAUUUGCCCACAACACCUAGUCUCACCACGCCCCCAAGGGUAUUCAGCAGUGAUAAAUUUUGUUUAUAAGCGACAGCUUGAAUCAGUCAGAGAGAAGAGAGCCGGCCAACCUGGUGCCAGCCGCCGCGGCUAUACCAGAGGCUCAAGUUAAUAAUUAUCGGCGUUAAGCGUGAUUAAAGACCUCAAAAAUUAGGGUUAAAUUAAUGCUCAGUAGUUAUAAGCUUGUUAUUAAGAAAAACAUAAACGAAAGUUACCCUAAUACACUUGAAUACACGACAGCUAGGAACACAAACUGGGAUUAGAUACCCCACUAUGCCUAGCCGUAAACAAUUAACUUACACUUAAAAGCGCCAGGGAACUACGAGCGAUGCUUAAAACCCAAAGGAUUUGACGGUGUCCCACCCACCUAGAGGAGCCUGUUCUUUAAUCGAUGACCCCCGCUAUACCUGACCACUCCUAGCCUUUCAGUCUGUAUACCUCCGUCGAAAGCUUACCAUGUGAAUGUUCUAGUGGGCCGAAUGACCCCCAUCAACACGUCAGGUCAAGGUGCAACUCACGGAGUGGGAAGUAAUGGGCUACAAUUUCUAAUUUAGAACAAACGGAAAACUGCAUGAAACUGCAGUCAUGAAGGCGGAUUUAGUAGUAAAAAGAAAAUAAAGAGUUCUUUUUAACCCGGCUCUGGGACGCGUACACACCGCCCGUCACCCUCUUCGAUAAUAUUCCCC